AUCAGAAACACGCCUUCCUGCGUGUUUUCCGUGGAGACAGCGAUCACUUGGACGGAACGCGAUCCGGGCGCCGGUCGUUUGACGGACCGACACCACCGUGCCCUCCACAGCCUCGGUACCGGCUCCGUGGGGCUCGGCUCGCGGUCGGUUCAGCCUCGGGGCACCUCGUCGCUCGCGUGUCGCGUGUCCUCCGCACAAAGCGAUCGAUGGAUUUCCAGAAACUUUGCACUUUCGAAACUUUCCAGCGGCUCUGGAGUCACUACGGCUACGGAGGAAACUUCCGGGACGUGAUCGAGCGGGAGUUCACGCGCAUUAAAGGAGCAGCAUAUCUGGAUCACGCAGCGGCCACUUUGUACCCGGAGUGCGUGGUCAGGGACCACUGCCAGGACAUUUCCCGGAACCUGUACGGAAACCCCCACAGCCACAGUCCCAGCAGCAGACUGACACACGACACGGUGGAGAGGGUUAGAUACAGGGUAUUGCAGCAUUUUAACACCACCCCCGAGGAGUACUGUGUGAUUUUCACUUCUGGUUGUACAGCCGCUCUCAAAUUAGUGGCUGAAAGCUUCCCCUGGAGGCGCGCGAGCCGCAGCGAGGCGGGCAGCCUCUUCUGCUACCUCACCGACAGCCACACCUCCGUGGUCGGCAUGAGGGGCCUGAGCGCGGCCCGGGGGGCGGCCGCCGUGCCCGUGUCCCCGCAGGACGUGGAGAGCAGGGCGACGGGGGCGGUUCGAGGCGACGACGCCGCUUGCCCGACGCCGCACCUCUUCUGCUACCCGGCGCAGAGCAACUUCUCCGGGCGGAAGUACCCCCUGGAGCACGUGCGGGGCAUCCGGGCGCGGCGCCUCCACCCGGCGUGCGCCCACCGCGGCCGCUGGUUCGUGCUGCUGGACGCUGCCUCCCACGUCGGCUGUUCCCCGCUGGACCUGCGCGAGUGCCCCGCCGACUUCGUGGCCGUCUCCUUCUAUAAGAUGCUCGGCUUCCCCACGGGGCUGGGCGCCCUGCUCGUGCGUAACGACGCAGCGGGCGUCCUGGCGAAGGCCUACUUCGGAGGGGGCACGGCGGCAGCGUACCUCUCCGCGGAAGAUUAUUACGUGCCGGCGGCAAACGUUUCUGACAGAUACGAGGAUGGGACGGUAUCUUUCCUGGACAUUAUAGCCCUGAACCACAGUUUCGACGCUCUUUACCGGAUCACAGGGAACAUGCACAACAUCCAGCAGCACACGUUCGGCUUGGCACGCUACACUUACAUGCUGCUGUCAAGUCUUUGCCAUGGCAACGGGCGACCGGUGGCUCAGAUAUACUCCGAAGGCCGGUUUGAGAGUCCGAGCACACAGGGUCCAAUCUUAAACUUCAACCUCAUGGAUUCUAACGGCCAGAUAAUUGGAUAUUCUCAGGUGGACAGAAUGGCCAGUCUGUACAACAUUCACAUUCGUACCGGCUGCUUCUGCAACACUGGGGCCUGCCAGUCCUUCCUUGGGAUCACAGACCAGCAGAUGAAGAGAAACCUGCAGGCUGGUCACGUCUGCGGCGACAGCGUGGACCUGGUGGACGGACAGCCGACCGGGUCCGUCCGCGUGUCCUUCGGCUACAUGUCCACGUUCGAGGACUGUCAGAAGUUCCUGCACUUUGUGGCCGAGUGCUUUGCGGAGAAACCGGUCACCGUGGACCCAGCGAGACUGGAGGGGGUGAGGGCGGUCACAGCAGCGGCCCAGAGUCCGACGGAGGUUCCUAACGGAGAAAUAAAGAGAGUGGACGAAAACGGAAACCGGGGAGAAGCGUCACCGGAGGGACUGGACUCAAACAGCCGCAGAGAGGCUCACACUCUCACCAACAUCUACAUCUAUCCCAUCAAAUCAUGUGGAGCGUUUGAGGUCCGCGACUGGCCGGUGGGGCCACUGGGUUUACUGUAUGACAGAGGCUGGAUGGUGGUGAAUGGAAACGGCGUGUGCCUGAGUCAGAAGCGGGAGGCGCGCUUGUGUCUCGUUCGCCCACGCGUCCACCCGCCCUCCAACAAAUUGCUCCUGCAGGCGCCAGGGAUGGAUAGCAUUUCAGUUCCCUUGGAAAACAGCCGUCAAGUGCACACACGCCAUCAGGUGUGUCAGAGCAAAGUUUGCAGUGACAGGGUGGAGACGGUGGACUGCGGGGAUGAGGCUGCGCGGUGGCUCUCGGAGUUCCUCGGACAGCCGUGCCGCCUGAUAAGACAGAGUCCUGAUUCCACCCGAGACGCCAAGAAGGGGCCUGUCGGAGGUAUCUGUCAGGCUUUCUGCCUGUUGCUGUUGACAGACAAUCGAGGGAGCAAAUACAGCCGUGGGGCGGAAAACGCACACGGCUGCUGCCAUAGAACGUUGGCUUUUAAGCGCGUUCCCGCUCGCUGGAAGUGAAGCAUCCUGCUUGAAAACACAGGCAACCUGACAUAAACAAUGCGUUGAAAACAGCCUUAUGUGUGUAAGAUCCCUCCAACCAAGGGUGUCAGUGUAGAGUUACAUAUUGAUGCCCCGCACGGGCUCAGGACGCGACAAACGACUUGUGUUUGAUUUGUCUGCCUGUAAAUUGACACCUUUGCCAAUCAAAUCCAAUCAGGCGCCUCCAUCGUCCGUCACCGAUUCCCAAAUUGAAACUCUAAAAGCAGCUUAAUCUCGCAGCCUUGGUGGAACUCAAUAAAACCCCUCUGCUCUGCCGGAGUAACGAUGCGAAAACGAAGGCGCCGAGCACUUUUCAUAAACGCUUCUUUGAGCCUGUUACGGUUCUAACCUCACAUAUAAAUAAUAAAGAUGGCAACAGCGGAGGCAAACGUAAUUAAUCCGCUGGAAAAUGGAGAAUAAGAACAUUUGACCGAACCCGCAGACAUUUUGCGACACGCAUCACUCCGCUCCGCGCUCGGGGGCCGAGCUGCAGCUGCCGACGAGGAGGCAACGAGUGCAAUGAGAUCACGCGCGCACGUACGCGUCACCUGAAGGCACCGCCACAUGUCACCGAGCCGCCGCCGGCGUCGCAGCGGCUCCGUUUGUUGGAAACCGGGUGAAUGUUUACACAAAAGGACUUGCAUCCCCUCCAUCAGCACCCCCACAGCCAUCCUGCACGCUGCACUUGUUUUGUUGACUCGGGAACAUCCAGUCCACCAGGUUUGUUUGUCAUCUGGUUCCUUCCUCGCUGCUGUUUGUGGUGUUGGAGGUAGAGGAGCUGAACAGGCAAAGAGACUGAAACAUUUGGCGAGGGAUUCAUUCAGAUCAACAAGUAUGUGUAUUUCACCCACUUGGAGCUGGAUCCAGGACUGAACCCGCAGCUUGGACCUGGUGGACAGACGGGACUGUGUGUCCUGUGUGCUCUUUGGCCAAAAUUCAAAUUACCCCGGACUUUGUAGUGAGGUUAAAGUGGGAAAUGGUUCUUUGAGACAGGAGCUCAGACACGAGGCUUUUUUUUUUGAGGAUGCUUGUUGCUCAAACCACAGAUCAGUACAUUUUUCUGUAAUGGGAUGAAUUCACCGGGGUAAUAUAAAGUCUUUUCUUUCUAGCUGCCACCUCCACGUUCCUCUCCCUGGUGAACGAGGCUCAGUAUCUCAUGAUCAACCGCGCCAGCGUGGAGCUCAUUCAGAAAUUAAUGAGCAGCAGGCAGGACUAUUCUGAGGGUGAUCAGCUCCUUGACACACAGAAUGUCAUUAGU
Molecule: RNA transcript, 3663 nt
Organism: Betta splendens (Siamese fighting fish)
Lineage: Eukaryota; Metazoa; Chordata; Actinopteri; Anabantiformes; Osphronemidae
Gene: mocos
Gene name: molybdenum cofactor sulfurase
Exons: 13
Source: RefSeq, a predicted model, not a curated record